This 262-nucleotide signal recognition particle RNA is filed under the name Lachnospiraceae bacterium. Its description in RNAcentral is "signal recognition particle sRNA large type". It matches the Rfam family "Bacterial large signal recognition particle RNA". Rfam says of the family: The signal recognition particle (SRP) is a universally conserved ribonucleoprotein involved in the co-translational targeting of proteins to membranes. Archaeal SRP consists of a 7S RNA and homologues of the eukaryotic SRP19 and SRP54 proteins. In most bacteria, the SRP consists of a 4.5S RNA and the Ffh protein (a homologue of the eukaryotic SRP54 protein). The record is from RNAcentral. Lineage: Bacteria; Bacillati; Bacillota; Clostridia; Lachnospirales; Lachnospiraceae.
CCGUGCAGCCGGGGAGUUAGCGGUGCCCUGUACCUGCAAUCCGCUCCAGCAGGGGUGAUAUCCGGCCUCGGGCAGGUUCUUGUAAAGCCGCCCAUCAUAAGUGGUGUUGAUACUCUGGUCUUGCGCAACGGAUGUUCGUGAACCGUGUCAGGUCAGGAAUGGAGCAGCACUAAGCGAAAAGUUCCGUGUGCCGUAAGGGUGCCGGGGAGGAGCUAACUGUGAUGGUACCGUUUAUGAGUCGUGUUCAAAGCCGGAUGCACGG